Helianthus annuus (common sunflower) is the source of this 2283-nucleotide long non-coding RNA. RefSeq lists it as uncharacterized. The record is from RefSeq and is a predicted model, not a curated record. Lineage: Eukaryota; Viridiplantae; Streptophyta; Magnoliopsida; Asterales; Asteraceae. The transcript is spliced from 15 exons.
UAGAGCCUCCUAGAUUCAUUUUUGGCGGGAAAAUGAGCUGGGUUAAUUUUUGUUCGCGGAUCCCGGUUUUGAUGUGAUCCAACCCGUUUUAUGACCCGGGUAUAUAAAUCACCUAAAAACCUAAAUUCAUGUGGCCUCAUUAUUUUCCUUCACUGGUUCACACCGAAACCCUAGCCUCCGUCUUCUUCUGCCAUCUGAGAGGUUCUAACAUCUUUUCUUUGCUAAAACCCUAGAUAUCUCUACUACUGCGCUUCCUCAGAUCAUAUUGGAUCUUCAACAAUUUCUCUUCAUCUCAAUCACCAUCGAUUAUGUGGAUUUGAGGUCAUAAUUUCAUCGAAAAACUAAUGUUUUGUUGUAAUUCUUCUCUACUUGCAGACAUCCAACACGGAUUUUACAUGAAGAUCUGAAAACUAGGACAAAAUGCCCUAGCCGCCCCUUCAGCUUAUACGGCUAGGGUUCCGGUCAUUAGUCAUCCGUUUUUCGCUUCAGAAUCCAUGGUGUUUAGGUAUCCCCAAAUUAUUGUUUGUUAUAUUGAUUUUUUAUUGUUUGCAAAUAGUGUGUUUGUUGGUUUGUGAUCUUAUAACCAGUACCCAAAGGAUAAAGAUUGAAAAUUUAUGUGUAUUGUUUGAUAAUUGAGGGUUUUUCAAAACUUGGAUAUGAUCAUUCUUUUCCGUAGAUGUUCCAAUACUGUUUCCAAGAUACGGUAUUAAUGGCCAAAACUGAAUAUGAGUAUCACAUAAUUUUGAUUUUUUUUGGGUACGGGAAUCUACUGGGGUUUGUAUGCAAGUUCAGGGACACAAUGAUGCAUUUGCCUUAGAAUUGUUGGUAUCGUGAAAGCAACAGCUUAUGGUCAGCCUUUGGUUCAUCCUCAGUUUCUUGAGCAAGCAAGGAUGCCUUUGCCACUUGAAAUGGCGCAAGAGCCUGUUUACGUGAAUGCCAAAAAAUACCAUGCGAUAUUAAGGCGAAGGCAAUCCUGUGCAAAAGUAGAGCUUGAGAAGAAACUUAUAAAAGACAGAAAGCCUUAUCUUCAUGAAUCACGGCAUCAGCAUGCUAUGACAAGGGUAAGGGGCUCCGGUGGUUGUUUUGCAAAGGAAACUGACGUUAAUAAGAACACAACAGGUUCGGGUUCAAGUUCUGCCAUGUCAUCAUCCCAGUCGGUGAAUUCAAACCGGGUGCACUUGAGCAAUGGAAAAGUAAAGCGGUUACUCAAGAUAUGUUAAUUUAUGCUAAAAUUAUGGUCAUGCAUUAAUGAUUAAUGGUACCGUUUCUUUUAACUUUAGUAAUUCCUUUAUCUCAUAUUUACACCCGGUGAGAUAAAACGAAAGAGUGAAAAGUUUAACCACUGUCGGAUGUUAAAACCACAUUAUACUUAUUGUGCUUUUAAUGCGGCGAAUGCACUCUUAAUCGACCUGAUUAUUUAUUGUUUCUUUCUACAUGAUCAAGUUUACUAAACGGAACGGUUUCUUCUUCUAAAAGCAAGUUUGAUGAUAAAAUAGAAGCAUCUUAUGCUAAAACGUAUUUCCAUUACUGCGGGCAACUGCUUCAUCAGCAAAAUAUGAUGCAGGAUUAUGUGAGAACAGGUUCCUACUAUGCUGCGGUUAUUGAGAAUAAAGCCGAUAGCUGGUGAUAUUUUCAAGUUGUUUUAGUAUUUGUGUAGUCUCGCAACUUGGAGAUUAUUCACUUAAUCAGUUAACCAAGUUAAUUCACUGUUCGUGAGUAUUUUAUUCAUACAACUUCAAGCCUUUUACGACGUUCACCUGUCAAUCACGGUAAAGACAGGUCGCUUGGGUUGAUCAAAAGUCCUUUUGUCUAAAACGGGUAUACAAGGAAGAGGCUAUUAAAGGCAAGGAGAUAUACAAUAGCGAAAUGACGCAUUACAAACUGAGUACUCUACCUUCUCUGGAAUCAAGAAAGGAGCAGUUCUUCAGGAAGCUAGGGUCGUUAAUGAUCCUCAGUUGGAUUCAAGGAGGUGUUCUCAGAUUUAUGUUGCCAGGUUAUCACAAACCUGCUUAAUCUCUUGAAUAAAGGUGAUACCUUCACAAAUGUGUACAGUGUGACGGCUUCUCAUCACAAGGUCCGCAACCAUCACAUCCGGGUAAUCAUAAGUACUACCAUUCCUGCUAAGCUUUGUCAAGAGGGAGUUCACUAUAGAUUUGUGGAUUUUAUUGUUUUUUAUUUGUAAAUUUUGUUUGUAAUUCAAUUUUUGUUAUUUAAUUCAAUAUGCAACUUUGUUUAUAAGAAAUUUAUUAACACAAUAAUGAAUUAUAUAUAUUAUGUUCAACC